Molecule: long non-coding RNA, 278 nt
Filed under: Gossypium barbadense (sea-island cotton)
Lineage: Eukaryota; Viridiplantae; Streptophyta; Magnoliopsida; Malvales; Malvaceae
Description: long non-coding RNA (GBAR_LNC009787)
Source: RNAcentral
GAAGAGUGACAAGCGUCGUUUUGCCUAUCAAAAUAAAAUAAACCUCUUCAAAAAUAAAAUAAAUAAAUAAAAAGGUAGAAUAGUGGAAGAGGGUCGAUCCACAGGGAGUUUAAUGGAAUUCUUGAUUAAAUUUCUUGUUCUCGACCUAGGAGCUAAAAUAGAAAAUAAAAAAGAGGUGAUUUGAGAAGUAACAAGAAAAUAAAAUAAACAAGUAAAAUUGCAAGAAAGAUGUAUUAAGAUAGAAGCAAUAAAAUAAAGAAGAUGAAAGAUUAAGUUGA